CUAUGUUACGACUUAUCUUACUUUAAUAAUAAGAGCGACGGGCGAUAUGUACAUAUUUUAGAGCUAAAGUCAAAUUUUUAAUCUUUAAAAUUUUACUACCAAAUCCACUUUCAUUAAAUAUUACAAAUUUAAAUCCAUUUAAAUAAAUUUAUUGUAACCCAUUUUUACUUAAAUAUAAGCUACACCUUGAUCUGAUAUAAAUUUAAUUAAAAAUUCAAGAAAAUUAUUUUUCUAAAAAAAUAUUCUAACAACGACGAUAUAUAAACUGAAAUACAAAUUUAAGUAAGGUUCAUCGUGGAUUAUCAAUUAUAAAACAGGUUCCUCUGAAUAGACUAAAAUACCGCCAAAUUUUUUAAGUUUCAAGAACAUAACUAUUACUACUUUAGUGUCUUUAAUUACAUUUAUUAUAAUAGGGUAUCUAAUCCUAGUUUA
This 432-nucleotide ribosomal RNA is filed under the name Trupanea arizonensis. RNAcentral describes it as "partial 12S ribosomal RNA". The record is from RNAcentral. Lineage: Eukaryota; Metazoa; Arthropoda; Insecta; Diptera; Tephritidae.